Hevea brasiliensis (rubber tree) is the source of this 493-nucleotide long non-coding RNA. RefSeq lists it as uncharacterized. Lineage: Eukaryota; Viridiplantae; Streptophyta; Magnoliopsida; Malpighiales; Euphorbiaceae. The record is from RefSeq and is a predicted model, not a curated record. The transcript is spliced from 2 exons.
AAUUGACCAAAAGAGAGAAAAAUGAAAUCCAAAAAAUUGAUAUUUUCUCACAUUUCUUUUAUCAGGUCAGCAGGGAUGGAUGUACAAUGGCUAUAGCUAGCAAGGUUACGCUUACAGGCAUAAACUAGUACGUGGCAAGCUUUCUUUCACCACCAGAUGAAGUCGGUGGUCAUUGUCUUCUAGAGGGUCCAUGCAUGCCUGGGGAUAGGUAAUUCAAAUUUGUUGAGCUUGUCCAACAAUUGGUGGGUUGAUGUCAAAGGCGGUGCUUUUGUUCAACAGGCAAUUAUCUUAGUUGCCAAGGUAGUGUCGUAGUGUUGGCCUGUUAGUUUAUUCCAUUUCUAGCAACAGCCAAGAACAACUCUGCAUGGUUUCCAUCUCCGGCAUCAGCCAUGACCAAUGGCAGCUCUGUAUGGCUUUGAAUGCUUUGCUAGAGCAGCACUCAUAGGGUUUGUUUAUGAGUUGGGUUUAAUGUUAUGGGGUUUGAUUGGUUUAA